AAAGAAGUAGCCCCUGUGCAAAGACCUGAAUAUCCAUGUAUCUAAUUUAAAUAUAUUUACCUCCAGCUUUGUCGUCUCUGCUCCAAUGUAAUUGGGCUGCUGCUGCUGCUUCUUCUUUUACCGAACACACACACACAACUAUCCCCAGCUGUUUCCUGCUACGACUUGUGCCAACUGCUCAGCUGCUCUUGGAAAAGGAAGGAGAUGUAGGCUAUUGCCAGGCUGGUCAACUGGGAACUUGUGAGGGAAACUUUAGAUCUUACCCAGAAAGCAGAUGGGAGGAAGCACUUCCUCUUCGUACACUUCCUGUGUAUUGUGUAAAGUGGGAACUUGCGCAUCUACCCUGUGAUGAUGCAUGAUUUCUGGAUGCAGUUGCAAAGCACAGAGGAAACUGGGAGGAAGCUGAGCUUGCACUAUUGCUGAACAAUUCAUGGUCAGAUACAUCGUCCAAAAUUCAACAAAAGCGACUUUACAAAAAA
Podarcis muralis (Common wall lizard) is the source of this 479-nucleotide non-coding RNA. NCBI's taxonomy places the organism in Eukaryota, Metazoa, Chordata, Lepidosauria, Squamata, Lacertidae. The record is from RefSeq and is a predicted model, not a curated record.